This is an RNA transcript of Zea mays, 1123 nucleotides long. RefSeq lists it as uncharacterized. The record is from RefSeq and is marked validated. Lineage: Eukaryota; Viridiplantae; Streptophyta; Magnoliopsida; Poales; Poaceae. The transcript has 5 exons.
GCCUUGGCUGCGCCUGUCGUCGCGCCGUGUCCUGGAGUGUCUCCCGCGUCACCGCUGUUGUCCUGGAUCCUCGCUGGCUUCCGCUCCCUCCCCGAGUCGCCCUCGGCACGCAGUGACGACGGCGGCGCAAUCCCAGACUCCACGUCUGCCUCGCGACACCCCCCACUCCCGCGUCUCUCCAAUCGCCUCGCAACCUCGCCUCCUGUCAUCUGCACAUCGGCCACUGACUCUGCAGCUUCGACGCCGUUGGCAGUGGUAGCGGCAGUGUCUAUUGUGAGUGAAGGUUACUUGACUAUACAAAUUUCCGUGCACUACAUCAUUUCUAUAGUGCUAUGCUACAUGUGCUACCAACACAGGUCAGUAAAUCCUUUUCAUAUAUUGUGUGUGCUGAUUCCAUGAAUUCUAGUUGCUCCUUCAGAACAGGCUAUGUUGAGCUCGUUGGCUUCUGCUCACUUCAAACUGACUGCUCAAGUGGGCACUCAGACUCUCCCCAAAGGGUCUGUAUAUGGUCAUGUCCGGUAAGUUUAGCAGAUACAGACGUUCGCUGUGCCUCCAGGCUCCAGCAAUGACCGCGCCGCCGAAACGCUCGUGACAAGCUUUGUCGGUGCUAGACGCGAAGCUAGGCACUAGGCUACCAGAGUCGGGCUGGUCCAAGGGAGGGCUGCUUGCAUCGGCUGGUUUCCAUACGCGAAGCAGCAACCAGCCAGCGACAUCGCCAGAUUUGGCGAUCUUCAAUCAGAGAUGGCAAAUAUGAAUACAUUUCUGGCGCUUUCUGAAGCUAUCAAUUGGCCCAGUGGUUCCUACUCUGCAACUAGCAUGCACUAGCAGCAAGGACAUUGUUGUUUGGACUAGAAGAACUAUCCUAGCAUGCACUACCAGCAAGGACAUUGUUGUUUGGACCGGAAGCCCCAUCACAUCUUUGUGUUUCAGCUAUACGUACACACCUUUUCAAAUCUGUGAUGAAUGUUUCGUAUUAAAAGUACUGAGUUCCUCGAUGAUUCUUUUGACAUCGGUGAUAAAUCACUGGAAACAAAUCAAAAUAGAAACAUCUAAUUUUUUUCCUAAUUUUGUGUUUGAGCUAUAUGUACACAACUUUUUAAAUCUAUGAUGGAUGUUUUCUGUU